UACGUAGGGGGCUAGCGUUGUCCGGAAUCAUUGGGCGUAAAGCGCGUGUAGGCGGUUCGGUAAGUCCGCUGUGAAAGUCGGGGGCUCAACCCUCGGAUGCCGGUGGAUACUGUCGGGCUUGAGUACGGAAGAGGCGAGUGGAAUUCCUGGUGUAGCGGUGAAAUGCGCAGAUAUCAGGAGGAACACCAAUUGCGAAGGCAGCUCGCUGGGACGUUACUGACGCUGAGGCACGAAAGCGUGGGGAGCAAACAGG
This 253-nucleotide ribosomal RNA is filed under the name uncultured bacterium. RNAcentral describes it as "partial 16S ribosomal RNA". It matches the Rfam family "Bacterial small subunit ribosomal RNA", at positions 524 to 776 of the family's 1533-position model. The record is from RNAcentral.